RNAcentral lists this long non-coding RNA (784 nucleotides) under Cyanistes caeruleus (blue tit). RNAcentral's name for it is "lncRNA (ENSCCEG00000013512.1)". Lineage: Eukaryota; Metazoa; Chordata; Aves; Passeriformes; Paridae. The record is from RNAcentral.
AUGAAUCUUCAUCCCUGUACUCAAUACAGCAAUAUCAUCAGAAAGAUGGCUGUCAACACAAAUUGUAUGGAAAACUUCAGGGUUGGAACACUGUCUAGGAGCAGGAGGGCUGAGGAAAAGGCAUGGAAGGAAGAGGAAGAACAGCAAAUCAUCAGGGUAUUUGAGGUAAAUGUCAGUGCUGGUACAGAGAAAUGUAUUUGUCAUUAAGCUCUGCUGACAUUUUCUCUUUGAAGAUCUUUCUUACAGUUGGUUCUGGUCUGGACAUAUGUCUGUCAUUUGGGACUUGUGUUUUUCAAGACAGCCAUUUUCGUUGGCUGACUGUGCUUUUAAAUGCCUCAUUUUUAAGUUUUGGGGGUUUUUUUGUUGGUUUUUUUUUCCCCCUGAGGUGAAGAACAAAUUUGAGAAAACACAUUGAUUUUUCUAUAUGACAAAAGAUUUGUGACGGCUGUGAGGCUGAAGGGGAAUUAAGGCUUCCAGGAUUUGAAUGGUGACUAAACAUUUGGCAGAAAGAUGAUACAAAAGGUACAAAAGGUAUUCCUCCUUAUCAUCUUGUGAAAAUUUUCCUGUUUGGCCAAUCUACCCCUGUAUGAAAAACAUGUUUGCAUGUAGUAAUGUGUUUUUUUAUAGCUCCAAAUUUUACCAGGUCUUUCUUUCACAGUAACAGAAUUUCAUGUACAUCCUACAUCCUGUAAAAUAUUACAAUAUAAAAUUAAUAGUGCAAGCUAUCUGCUUGACUGUUUUCUCUCUUAGUUGCAGCAGCCAUGCAUGGUUUGCCUCAGAUGUC